RNAcentral lists this ribosomal RNA (468 nucleotides) under uncultured bacterium. RNAcentral's name for it is "partial 16S ribosomal RNA". It matches the Rfam family "Bacterial small subunit ribosomal RNA", at positions 28 to 507 of the family's 1533-position model. The record is from RNAcentral.
GACGAACGCUGGCGGCGUGCUUAACACAUGCAAGUCGAACGGAAAUUCUCUGCUUUUGUGGGUUGCUCGAGUGGCGAACGGGUGAGUAACACGUGCGUAACCUGCCCUUGACUUUGGGAUAACUUCAGGUAACUAAGGCUAAUACCUGAUAGGAGCUCCUGCUUCAUGGUUGGGGUUGGAUAGUUUCGUCGGUAUGGGAUGGGCUGGGGGGUUAUUUGCUUGUUAGUGGGUUAGUGGCUUACCAAGGCUUUGACGGGUAGCCGGCCUUGGAAGGGGCACGGCGACAAGGGGACUAAGAGACGGCGCAGAAGCGUACGGGAGGCAACAGGCGGAAGUAUGGCACAAUGAGCGGGAGUGAGAUGAAGAGAAGUCGCGUGCGGGAAGACGUGCUGUGGGUUGAGAACCGCUAUCGCCUGAGAAGAAGCGUGAGUGACGGUAACGGAUAAAGAAGCAACGGCUAACUACGUG